Molecule: ribosomal RNA, 1041 nt
Filed under: uncultured bacterium
Lineage: Bacteria
Description: bacterial SSU rRNA
Rfam family: Bacterial small subunit ribosomal RNA
Source: RNAcentral
GUGCCAGCAGCCGCGGUAAUACAGAGGGUGCGAGCGUUAAUCGGAAUUACUGGGCGUAAAGGGCGCGUAGGUGGUUACUUAAGUCAGAUGUGAAAUCCCUGGGCUUAACCUAGGAAUUGCAUUUGGUACUGAGUGGCUAGAGUAUGGGAGAGGUAAGUGGAAUUUCCGGUGUAGCGGUGAAAUGCGUAGAUAUCGGAAGGAACACCAGUGGCGAAGGCGACUUACUGGCCCAUUACUGACACUGAGGCGCGAAAGCGUGGGGAGCGAACAGGAUUAGAUACCCUGGUAGUCCACGCCGUAAACGAUGAGAACUAGAUGUUAGGGGGCUUAGACCCUUUAGUAUCGCAGCAAACGCGUUAAGUUCUCCGCCUGGGGAGUACGGCCGCAAGGUUAAAACUCAAAGGAAUUGACGGGGGCCCGCACAAGCGGUGGAGCAUGUGGUUUAAUUCGAUGCAACGCGAAGAACCUUACCUACCUUUGAAUCCACGGAAUCUUGCAGAAAUGUAGGAGUGCCUUCGGGAACCGUGAGACAGGUGCUGCAUGGCUGUCGUCAGCUCGUGUCGUGAGAUGUUGGGUUAAGUCCCGUAACGAGCGCAACCCUUGUCCUUAGUUACCAGCGAGUUAUGUCGGGGACUUUAAGGAGACUGCCGGUGAUAAACCGGAGGAAGGUGGGGAUGACGUCAAGUCCUCAUGGCCCUUACAGGUAGGGCUACACACGUGCUACAAUGGUCGGUACAAAGGGUUGCCAACCCGCGAGGGGGAGCUAAUCUCAAAAAGCCGAUCGUAGUCCGGAUUGGAGUCUGCAACUCGACUCCAUGAAGCUGGAAUCGCUAGUAAUCGCGGAUCAGAACGCCGCGGUGAAUACGUUCCCGGGCCUUGUACACACCGCCCGUCACACCAUGGGAGUGGGUUGUACCAGAAGCAGGUAGACUAACCGCAAGGAGGUCGCCUACCACGGUAUGAUUCAUGACUGGGGUGAAGUCGUAACAAGGUAGCCGUAGGGGAACCUGCGGCUGGAUCACCUCCUUCUAGACUGCAGAA